AUUGAACGCUGGCGGCAGGCCUAACACAUGCAAGUCGAACGGUAACAGGAAGAAGCUUGCUUCUUUGCUGACGAGUGGCGGACGGGUGAGUCAUGUCUGGGAAACUGCCUGAUGGAGGGGGAUAACUACUGGAAACGGUAGCUAAUACCGCAUAACGUCGCAAGACCAAAGAGGGGGACCUUCGGGCCUCUUGCCAUCGGAUGUGCCCAGAUGGGAUUAGCUAGUAGGUGGGGUAACGGCUCACCUAGGCGACCAGCCCUAGCUGGUCUGAGAGGAUGACCAGCCACACUGGAACUGAGACACGGUCCAGACUCCUACGGGAGGCAGCAGUGGGGAAUAUUGCACAAUGGGCGCAAGCCUGAUGCAGCCAUGCCGCGUGUAUGAAGAAGGCCUUCGGGUUGUAAAGUACUUUCAGCGGGGAGGAAGGGAGUAAAGUUAAUACCUUUGCUCAUUGACGUUACCCGCAGAAGAAGCACCGGCUAACUCCGUG
This 490-nucleotide ribosomal RNA is filed under the name uncultured bacterium. RNAcentral describes it as "partial 16S ribosomal RNA". It matches the Rfam family "Bacterial small subunit ribosomal RNA", at positions 30 to 507 of the family's 1533-position model. The record is from RNAcentral.